This 66-nucleotide transfer RNA is filed under the name Pseudoglomeris angustifolia. RNAcentral describes it as "tRNA-Ile". Lineage: Eukaryota; Metazoa; Arthropoda; Insecta; Blattodea; Blaberidae. The record is from RNAcentral.
AGUAAGUGCCUGAUUUUAAAGGAUUACCUUGAUAGGGUAAAUUAUAUAACUUUUGUUAUCUUACUU